RNAcentral lists this transfer RNA (73 nucleotides) under Actinomycetota bacterium. RNAcentral describes it as "Actinobacteria bacterium (sediment metagenome) tRNA-Ala". It matches the Rfam family "tRNA". From Rfam's summary of the family: Transfer RNA (tRNA) molecules are approximately 80 nucleotides in length. Their secondary structure includes four short double-helical elements and three loops (D, anti-codon, and T loops). The record is from RNAcentral. Lineage: Bacteria; Bacillati; Actinomycetota.
GGGCCCGUAGCUCAGGUGGAAGAGCGCUUGGCUGGCAGCCAAGAGGUCGCCGGUUCGAAUCCGGUCGGGUCCA